Molecule: ribosomal RNA, 465 nt
Filed under: uncultured bacterium
Lineage: Bacteria
Description: partial 16S ribosomal RNA
Rfam family: Bacterial small subunit ribosomal RNA
Source: RNAcentral
GAUGAACGCUGGCGGCGUGCUUAACACAUGCAAGUCGAACGAUGAAGCCCAGCUUGCUGGGUGGAUUAGUGGCGAACGGGUGAGUAACACGUGAGUAACCUGCCCUUAACUCUGGGAUAAGCCUGGGAAACUGGGUCUAAUACCGGAUAGGAGCGUCCACCGCAUGGUGGGUGUUGGAAAGAUUUAUCGGUUUUGGAUGGCCUCGCGGCCUAUCAGCUUGUUGGUGAGGUAAUGGCUCACCAAGGCGACGACGGGUAGCCGGCCUGAGAGGGUGACCGGCCACACUGGGACUGAGACACGGCCCAGACGCCUACGGGAGGCAGCAGUGGGGAAUAGUGCACAAUGGGCGCAAGCCGGAGGCAGCGACGCCGCGUGAGGGAUGACGGCCUUCGGGUAGUAAACCUCUUUCAGUAGGGAAGAAGCGAAAGGGACGGGACCUGCAGAAGAAGCACCGGCUAACUACGU